RNAcentral lists this ribosomal RNA (469 nucleotides) under uncultured bacterium. RNAcentral describes it as "bacterial SSU rRNA". It matches the Rfam family "Bacterial small subunit ribosomal RNA", at positions 32 to 507 of the family's 1533-position model. The record is from RNAcentral.
GACAACGCUGGCGGCGUGCUUAACACAUGCAAGUCGAACGGAGAUAUAUCAGUAGCAAUACGGAUAUAUCUUAGUGGCGGACGGGUGAGUAACGCGUGAGCAACCUACCUUUUACAGGGGGAUAACACAGGGAAACCUGUGCUAAUACCGCAUAACAUACUAUUGGGGCAUCCCGAUGGUAUCAAAGGAGCAAUCCGGUAAAAGAUGGGCUCGCGUCCGAUUAGAUAGUUGGUGGGGUAACGGCCUACCAAGUCAACGAUCGGUAGCCGGACUGAGAGGUUGGCCGGCCACAUUGGGACUGAGACACGGCCCAGACUCCUACGGGAGGCAGCAGUGGGGAAUAUUGGUCAAUGGGGGAAACCCUGAACCAGCGACGCCGCGUGAAGGAAGAAGGCCUUCGGGUUGUAAACUUCUUUGACAGGGGACGAUAAUGACGGUACCCUGAGAACAAGCCACGGCUAACUACGUG